CCGAGUUGAUUUUAGUAUUUUUUAGAUUCCUUUUUAGAAUUGAUUUUUUUUUAAUUUUAUCUUUUAAUAUUUGAUUGGUUGAGAAUUAAUCUUGGUAUUUUUUUUUAUUUUUUUUCUAUGGGGUUAUUUUGAUCUUAUAUUUCGGAUUGUGAAUUAAUUUUUUAUGCUUUUAAGGGUAAAAUAGUAUUUAUACCUAAAAAAAGAAAUUUACGUACCAUUUUUUCC
Molecule: long non-coding RNA, 225 nt
Filed under: Populus trichocarpa (black cottonwood)
Lineage: Eukaryota; Viridiplantae; Streptophyta; Magnoliopsida; Malpighiales; Salicaceae
Description: long non-coding RNA (PTRI_LNC001080)
Source: RNAcentral